This 21-nucleotide microRNA is filed under the name Chlamydomonas reinhardtii. Its description in RNAcentral is "cre-miR1163.2". The record is from miRBase by way of RNAcentral. Lineage: Eukaryota; Viridiplantae; Chlorophyta; Chlorophyceae; Chlamydomonadales; Chlamydomonadaceae.
AGGGCAUGCUGCGUGCCAUGG